This 253-nucleotide ribosomal RNA is filed under the name uncultured bacterium. RNAcentral describes it as "partial 16S ribosomal RNA". It matches the Rfam family "Bacterial small subunit ribosomal RNA", at positions 524 to 776 of the family's 1533-position model. The record is from RNAcentral.
UACGAAGGGGGCUAGCGUUGCUCGGAAUCACUGGGCGUAAAGGGCGCGUAGGCGGCUCGAUAAGCGUGUGGUGAAAGCCUGGGGCUCAACCCCGGGUCGGCCAUGCGAACUGUCGAGCUGGAGCACUGUAGAGGCAGGCGGAAUUCCGGGUGUAGCGGUGGAAUGCGUAGAGAUCCGGAAGAACACCGGUGGCGAAGGCGGCCUGCUGGGCAGUAGCUGACGCUGAGGCGCGACAGCGUGGGGAGCAAACAGG